CUUUUUCCGUUUUCUUAUACUUUUAUUUUGAACUCGAAAUUUUUAACGGCGGAACCACCGUGCCGGUAUUCUCCUUCCGCCGUCGUAUUCUUCUCCUUCAAAGUUUUGUUGUGCGGUUGGUGGAUUAUUGUGUUAUUGUUUGGACUGCUGAUCACCCUCCCCUGUGCUUGCCGCGAGCUUCACUACCUUAGGCAGCUUCUUCGCCGGUUCGAACUCGGGAGAGGCAUGCUAUCAAUCUUGCAGUUGUAGUUGUAAUGCGAAAUUGGGAAAUUUAAGGCAAGGAGACACUGGUCCUGGUCAUUGCAUUGUCAGGUACUUGGUGAGUUAGAUCUUGAUAGUUUCAAAUAAGUAAAGUGGGGAUAUCAUUCAUAAAGAAUGGUAUUGAUAAAACAACACUGCUGUUUAUGUUAAAAGAGUAAACAUGGUUCCAUGUCAUGAUAUAGAAAUUGGCUUUGUGUGUCCUUUUCUUUUAUAAAGUAGAUAGUGAGUUUGUUCUCAUCAUAGCGUUUAUUGUUGAUUGCCGAAAAACAUGUAAGAAAUAAUUAGGAGUAUGUUAAAACCAAAUUAAAGUGAUGCAAAAUGGACAUGACAUUGUAUAUCCUUAAACAUGCCAAGUGUAGAAGGGAAGUAGAUUAAGACAUUGAAGAUUAACUAAAUUACAUGAUUAGUGAGAUUGAUUGAGAUUAUUUUUCACCAACAUGUGUGAUACUUUGAGCAGUGACAAGAAAUAUUAUUCUUAUUUGAAAUUUGAAGGCAAAAGUUUCACUGAAAAGUGAAUUGUUUAAAGGCAUGUUUUCAGAGUUUAAUCAUAAGUAAAUGGUAGCUUCCUUUACAUGAAUAUAUAGAUUCUAAGGUUAAAGUGAUUGUUCGCAAAUAUAAAUAAUGCAAAGAACAUAAAGAUAGCAUGCAAAGAGAUAUACUGCAUUGAGUAAUUUCACAAUCCAAUUGAGUAUGUGCUGAUGGAAAAAAAAUUAAAAUUCUUUGUUUCUAGAUUUUGACAAUUGUGGUUGACAUAACUACAUCUUGAUUGUAAAUUUAACUUACUAAUUAAUUUUCAUUUACAACUAACAUUUUUUUGAUAAUAUUUAGUGCUUAGUGUUAAAUUAUAAUUUGCGGGAAGUUGUUCUUGUAGUCUCUAAACUAAUUUUCAAGAAUUUUUCAAGAAAACACUAAAGUUCAUCCUCCAUUUUAAGCUAAGAGUAACCAUGGGAGAAACUCCACCAUAUAUACACUAUAGAUAAGCACCAAUUAAAUACACUAUAAGGACUAGAGAGAAAAAUGCAGCCAUGGGGAAACUCCAAUUUUAAGGUUUGGUAGUAUUUUUUUGGAGUUAUUGUAGAGAAUAGAUUUUAAUAGUUUAGAGCAUUGUUAGUAAUUGGUUAACUCGGUUAGUUAGUUAGUUAUAGUUAGUUUCAAGUUUUAGAAAUUUUUCUAAAAGAAGUUACUUGAUGUGCAAGUAACAACUGACUAUGGCUAUAUAGCUCUAUGUGUAUCAAUAACAACUACUCCUUAUCUCAUUCAAUUAAUCUCUACACUCUCACUCAAUUCCGUAUACUUCUCUUCUCUCAAUCUUCUCCCUCUCAUAACGAUUAUCUCCAACAAAUUGGUAUCAAGAGCAAGAACGAUCUUAUGGAUUUAAGUGAUUGCAAGUGAGUUCAAUCAUGGUGGGUCAUGGAAACUUCGCAACCCACUUACCAGUUCUUGAUGGAAAGAAUUGGGAUAAAUGGGUGACUCAAAUGAAAGUCAUUUUUGGUGCACAAGAUGCUGAUUGUGAUAUGGUGGAAAUUGGUUUAGAAGCUUUACCCGAAGAUGCAAGUGAAGCACAAAGGAAAGACUUCAAAGAAAACAAGAGAAUAUAUUGCAAUGUAUUGUUCCGCAGCCAUCAAUGCAUGGAUUCAAAGGUCUUUGAAAAGAUCUCUAGUGAAACCAACUCAUAGGCCUCAUGGGAUAAGUUGGAAAGAUACUAUGGUGGUGACGCCAAAGUCAAGAAAGUUAAGUUGCAAUAUUUAAGAAAAAAACUUGAGAUAUUCAGAUGAAGAAUGACGAGAAAAUAGAUGUCUACAUCUUAAUAUUACUAAUUCUUACAAGCCAAGUGAAGUAGUAUGGUGAAGUUCAUGAAGUUGAGAAGGAAACUUUGAGUUAUGAUUUUUGAUAGCUUGAAUUAAGAAGAAUGUUCAGAAUAAUUCAAGCCUUUAAUAUUAGAACUUUGUUAGUAGUUAGUUAUGAAUAAAUAAUUUAGUUAGUUAG
This is a long non-coding RNA of Vicia villosa (hairy vetch), 2247 nucleotides long. RefSeq lists it as uncharacterized. Lineage: Eukaryota; Viridiplantae; Streptophyta; Magnoliopsida; Fabales; Fabaceae. The transcript is spliced from 4 exons. The record is from RefSeq and is a predicted model, not a curated record.